GUCUACGGCCAUGCCAUUCAGAACAAGCCCGAUCCCUUCUGAUCUCAGAAGCUAAGCAGAGUCGGGCCUGGUUAGUACUUGGAUGGGAGACCACCUAGGAAGACCAGGUGCUGUAGGCA
This 119-nucleotide ribosomal RNA is filed under the name Pteropus alecto (black flying fox). Lineage: Eukaryota; Metazoa; Chordata; Mammalia; Chiroptera; Pteropodidae. The record is from RNAcentral.